UACAGAGAGUGCAAGCGUUAAUCAGAAUUACUGGGCGUAAAGCGCGCGUAGGGGGAUUGUUAAGUCGGAUGUGAAAGACCUGGGCUUAACCUGGGAAUUGCAUCCGAUACUGGCAAUCUAGAGUAUGGUAGAGGGAAGUGGAAUUUCCGGUGUAGCGGUGAAAUGCGUAGAUAUCGGAAAGAACACCAGUGGCGAAGGCGGCUUCCUGGACCAAUACUGACACUGUGGUGCGAAAGCGUGGGGAGCAAACAGG
Molecule: ribosomal RNA, 253 nt
Filed under: uncultured bacterium
Lineage: Bacteria
Description: partial 16S ribosomal RNA
Rfam family: Bacterial small subunit ribosomal RNA
Source: RNAcentral